This 428-nucleotide transfer RNA is filed under the name uncultured Alphaproteobacteria bacterium. Its description in RNAcentral is "partial 16S-23S ribosomal RNA intergenic spacer". The stretch from base 94 to 167 matches the Rfam family "tRNA". The record is from RNAcentral. Lineage: Bacteria; Pseudomonadati; Pseudomonadota; Alphaproteobacteria.
GAUGAUAAAGUAAAAUUUUAUUCUAAAUAAUUUACAGGAUAAUGUUGACCGUCCUCAUUUCUCUUCUUAAAUGUAUGUGUUUCUCUUGAAUGGGGGCCGGUAGCUCAGUUGGUUAGAGCACACCCUUGAUAAGGGUGGGGUCGAAAGUUCGAGUCUUUCUCGGCCCACCAAUAAGAAAAUUAAGGGGGAUUAGCUCAGCUGGGAGAGCGCCUGAUUUGCAUUCAGGAGGUCAGCGGUUCGAUCCCGCUAUCCUCCACCAAACACUUAGUUAUAUUAAAUCGUAAAUAAAAAUUAUUAAUAUCAAUAUCUAUAUCCGAACAUUAACAAUGUUGUUAUCAAGUUAAUGUUCAAACAAAAAUUUAAUUCAACACAGAAUUUUUUUCUGUGCAUAAAUUAAGCGUUUAAGGGCGUGUGGUGGAUGCCUUGGC